AAAACAAAAACCCCCCCCUCUUGACCUCAAAUCGGGUGAGACUACCCGCUGAACUUAAGCAUAUCAAUAA
RNAcentral lists this ribosomal RNA (70 nucleotides) under Lactifluus aurantiifolius. RNAcentral's name for it is "partial 28S large subunit ribosomal RNA". The record is from RNAcentral. Lineage: Eukaryota; Fungi; Basidiomycota; Agaricomycetes; Russulales; Russulaceae.